AUUCUGUAACUGAGUUUGUGUGUUUAUUUGCUUUCAUUCUCUUGGAUUGGUUAUAGUGUUUUUAUGGUAAGUGACUAAUAGGGGUGGUAUAGGAGUCCGAUUUAGUGGACGAUUCUACUUUUAGGAACAUUUGGUGUGGCAAAUUUUUGUUUUUUGUUUGACAAAGUUUCAGCACAAUAAGAGACAAAUCUUGAUUCUCAACUUUCAUGAAAGAUGAGUUUGGUCUAGUCUCUGUCACUCUGUUCCGUGAGGUAAAUGCAUCAAAAAGGGACAAAUUUUAGCAGACGGUGCUGCUAUAGCAAUAAAAAGGAUGCAGCAAGAGAACGGAUGCGCUAACGUGCAACGGCUUUCUAAAGCUCAAUCCACCACAGUUAAGUUCUUUAUUAAUAUCAAUGGGGAGCUGUGUGGUUUCUUUUUUUGGGGAGAAAGGCCUGAGGCAGGGUGACCAGAUGUCCUCCUAACAAAAUCAACUCCCAUCAAUCAGUUUGUCCCAUCAAAUCAACAGCCCCUUGUUGGCUGUUGGCCUGACCAGAUGAAUAAUCAUUUGCUUUCGGAAGAAAUUGAAGAAUUUCUUCGGAAUCCUACAAGAUCCAUUCAUUCUUUUUUCUCUGACAGAUGGUCAGAACUUCAUCUGGAUUGAAAUUCUUUUUAGAGGUACACUAGAGAUCAGAAAUUGUUGAAGAAAGAACAAGA
Corylus avellana is the source of this 693-nucleotide long non-coding RNA. RefSeq lists it as uncharacterized. Lineage: Eukaryota; Viridiplantae; Streptophyta; Magnoliopsida; Fagales; Betulaceae. The record is from RefSeq and is a predicted model, not a curated record.